CAAUCUGGUAUUGAUAUUUGAAAUGGCAGUAGAGACACAAACCUGGAAUUGAUAUGUGACAUCACAGCAGAGACGCGAGUCUGGAAUUAAUUGUUGACAUCACAGCAGAGACGCGAGUCUGGUAUUGAUAUUUGACAUCACAGCAGAGAGACAAGUCUGGUAUUGAUAUUUGACAUCACAGCAGAGAGGUGUGUCUGGUAUUGAUAUUUGACAUCACAGCAGAGUGACGAGUCUUGUAUUGAUAUUUGACAUCACGUCAGAGACACGCCCUGUGCUCGGCGAUAGCUCAUACUUCACGUCAGACACACCCCGUGUGAGUGGCGAUUGCUGAUAAGUCACAUCACAGUCACGCCCUGACAUUGGCGAUCUCUAAUAAGUCACGUCACAGACACGCCCGGCGAGCAGCGAUUGCUGAUGAGUCACGUCAGAGACACGCCCUGUGAUCGGCGAUCACUCAUACUUCACGUCAGACACACCCCGUGUGAGUGGCGAUUGCUGAUAAGUUAUGUCACAGACACGCCCAACUAUUGGCGAUUGCUCAUACGUCACAUAACAAACACGGCCUGCGAGUGGCGAUUGCUGAUAAGUCACAAAACAGUCACGCUCUGACACUGGCGAUCGCUAAUACGUCACGUCAUGGAAACGCCGGGCGAGCCGCGAUUGCUGAUAAGUCACAAAACAGUCACGCCCUGACAUUGGCGAUCGCUAAUACGUCACGUCACAGACACGCCCGGCGAGCGGCGAUUGCUGAUAAGUCACAAAACAGUCACGCCCUGACAUUGGCGAUAGCUAAUACGCCACGUUACAGACACGCCCGGCGAGCGGCGAUUGCUGAUAAGUCACGUCAGAGACACGCCCUGUGAUCGGCGAUCACUCAUACUUCACGUCAGACACACCCCGUGUGAGUGGCGAUUGCUGAUAAGUUAUGUCACAGACACGCCCAACUAUUGGCGAUUGCUCAUACGUCACAUAACAAACACGGCCUGCAAGUGGCGAUUACUGAUAAGUCACAAAACAGUCACGCCCUGACAUUGACGAUCUCUAAUAAGUCACGUCACAGACACGCCCGGUGAGCGCCGAUUGCUGAUAAGUUAUGUCACAGACACGCCCAAUUAUUGGCAAUUGCUCAUACGUCACAUAACAAACACGCCCGGCGAGCGGCGAUUGCUGAUAAGUUAUGUCACAGUCACGCCCUGUGAUCGGCGAUCACUCAUACUUCACGUCAGACACACCCCGUGUGAGCUAUUUGAAAUCACAGCCGAGAGGCGAAUCUGGCAUUGAUAUUUGACAUCGGGUUUCACAACGCUUUCUUUCCAAUCUCCUUGUGUUUCAGGUCUUGGAUCUGUUCCUGGGCUCCUGCACUCUGAUAUCCAUCUCACCCGCUUGUAAGUAUCCAUCACAGC
Oreochromis aureus is the source of this 1403-nucleotide long non-coding RNA. The record is from Ensembl. NCBI's taxonomy places the organism in Eukaryota, Metazoa, Chordata, Actinopteri, Cichliformes, Cichlidae.